Molecule: unclassified non-coding RNA, 263 nt
Filed under: plant metagenome
Description: partial contains small subunit ribosomal RNA, internal transcribed spacer 1, and 5.8S ribosomal RNA
Source: RNAcentral
UUUCCGUAGGUGGACCUGCGGAAGGAUCAUUAUUGUAUAACCGAGGGGCGAGGGCUGUCGCUGACCCGAAAGGUCGUGCACGCCCGAGUGCCCUCACACACAUCCAUCUCACCCCUAUGUGCACCACCGCGUGGGUCCCCCUUUGGCUUGUUCGGAGGGGGGCUUACGUUUUCACACAAACUUUGUAUGCAGUGUAGAAUGUAUUUUUUGUUUUUGCGAUCACGCAAUCAAUACAACUUUCAACAACGGAUCUCUUGGCUCUC